Molecule: ribosomal RNA, 253 nt
Filed under: uncultured bacterium
Lineage: Bacteria
Description: partial 16S ribosomal RNA
Rfam family: Bacterial small subunit ribosomal RNA
Source: RNAcentral
UACGUAGGGCGCGAGCGUUGUCCGGAAUUAUUGGGCGUAAAGAGCUCGUAGGCGGCCUGUUGCGUCCGCUGUGAAAUCCCAGGGCUCAACCCUGGGCGUGCAGUGGAUACGGGCAGGCUGGAGGCAGGCAGGGGAGAACGGAAUUCCCGGUGUAGCGGUGAAAUGCGCAGAUACCGGGAGGAACACCGGUGGCGAAGGCGGCUUUCUGGCCUGUUCUUGACGCUGAGGCGCGAAAGCUAGGGUAGCAAACGGG